CAAGUAGACACAAGAAAAAGUACAAAUGAGUUCUUUAUUCUUCAUUAGAGCACUCUAAAGAUAGCAUCAAGGACUGCAUGGAAAUSCCCUGGAUACUUUUCAUAAUCUUUUCUGGUGAAUCUCAGGAUAUCAAAUAUGAGAGGCAAGGGAGAAGCUGCGGAGGAGCCCUGGGAAGGCCUCAGGAAUGACAGACCCUGCAGUGAGCUGCAUUUGUAUCCUCGGUCCGUGGCAGGUCAAAGGUCUGCAGCGGGCAGAGGCUCCCCCAGCUAGAAAGCUGCAACGAUGUAUUUUCUCCGAAUUCACAUGAGCCCUGGUCCUGUUACUAGAAACAACGGAUGGAACUCCUGGGACUUACUGACAAUCAACAAAACUGGACAAAGAGUUAAUAAAUAAAUCACCCUUCAGCA
Molecule: long non-coding RNA, 407 nt
Filed under: Dromaius novaehollandiae (emu)
Lineage: Eukaryota; Metazoa; Chordata; Aves; Casuariiformes; Dromaiidae
Description: lncRNA (ENSDNVG00000008743.1)
Source: RNAcentral